Molecule: ribosomal RNA, 574 nt
Filed under: Dothideomycetes sp.
Lineage: Eukaryota; Fungi; Ascomycota; Dothideomycetes
Description: eukaryotic LSU rRNA
Rfam family: Eukaryotic large subunit ribosomal RNA
Source: RNAcentral
AUCAGGUAGGGAUACCCGCUGAACUUAAGCAUAUCAAUAAGCGGAGGAAAAGAAACCAACAGGGAUUGCCCUAGUAACGGCGAGUGAAGCGGCAACAGCUCAAAUUUGAAAUCUGGCUCCUUUGGGGUCCGAGUUGUAAUUUGCAGAGGGUGCUUUGGCAUCGGCGGCGGUCUAAGUUCCUUGGAACAGGACAUCGCAGAGGGUGAGAAUCCCGUACGUGGGCGCCUGCCUUUGCCGUGUAAAGCCCCUUCGACGAGUCGAGUUGUUUGGGAAUGCAGCUCUAAAUGGGAGGUAAAUUUCUUCUAAAGCUAAAUACCGGCCAGAGACCGAUAGCGCACAAGUAGAGUGAUCGAAAGAUGAAAAGUACUUUGGAAAGAGAGUCAAAUAGCACGUGAAAUUGUUGAAAGGGAAGCGCUUGCAGCCAGACUUGCCCGCAGUUGCUCACCCAGGCUCCGGCCUGGGGCACUCUUCUGCGGGCAGGCCAGCAUCAGUUUGGGCGGUUGGAUAAAGGCCUCUGUCACGUAUCUCCCUUCGGGGUGACCUUAUAGGGGAGGCGCAAUGCAACCAGCCCGGA